GGAGUUUGGGCCGUGUCUCAGUCCCAAUGUGGCCGGUCACCCUCUCAGGUCGGCUACUGAUCGUCGCCUUGGUGGGCCGUUACCUCACCAACAAGCUAAUCAGACGCGGGCCCAUCUCAUUCUGCCGGAGCUUUUCACACUGUUCCAUGCGGAACCGUGCGCUUAUGCGGUAUUAACAGUCGUUUCCAACUGGUAUCCCCCUGAAUGAGGCAGGUUGCCCACGCGUUACUCACCCGUCCGCCACUCGUCAGCUAGAAAAGCAAGCUUUUCUACUGUUACCGUUCGACUUGCAUGUAUUAGGCCUGCCGCCAGCGUUCAAU
This 320-nucleotide ribosomal RNA is filed under the name uncultured Lachnospiraceae bacterium. RNAcentral describes it as "partial 16S ribosomal RNA". The record is from RNAcentral. Lineage: Bacteria; Bacillati; Bacillota; Clostridia; Lachnospirales; Lachnospiraceae.